Molecule: ribosomal RNA, 394 nt
Filed under: Rhodotorula mucilaginosa
Lineage: Eukaryota; Fungi; Basidiomycota; Microbotryomycetes; Sporidiobolales; Sporidiobolaceae
Description: eukaryotic LSU rRNA
Rfam family: 5.8S ribosomal RNA (bases 1-114)
Source: RNAcentral
GAACGCAGCGAAAUGCGAUAAGUAAUGUGAAUUGCAGAAUUCAGUGAAUCAUCGAAUCUUUGAACGCACCUUGCGCUCCAUGGUAUUCCGUGGAGCAUGCCUGUUUGAGUGUCAUGAAUACUUCAACCCUCCUCUUUCUUAAUGAUUGAAGAGGUGUUUGGUUUCUGAGCGCUGCUGGCCUUUACGGUCUAGCUCGUUCGUAAUGCAUUAGCAUCCGCAAUCGAACUUCGGAUUGACUUGGCGUAAUAGACUAUUCGCUGAGGAAUUCUAGUCUUCGGAUUAGAGCCGGGUUGGGUUAAAGGAAGCUUCUAAUCAGAAUGUCUACAUUUUAAGAUUAGAUCUCAAAUCAGGUAGGACUACCCGCUGAACUUAAGCAUAUCAAUAAGCGGAGGAA